UGGCAUAGCAUUUGCUUGAAGCUGAACCAAACAAAGAAUUGCAGACAAUAACAACUAUUAUAUUUUUGUUUAAAAUUAGUUUUUUUUAUGUUUUUAUUAUUAUUAUUUUGAUACGUUGAUAUCAAAAAUAAUUUUUUAAAAAUAAAAAAAUAUUAUUUUGAUACAUUUCUAAGCAAAAUAUAAUUUAAAAAGCAACCGCUUCUAUACUCACAAACACCCCAAAAUUUCUAGUUUGUCUAUCAAGCAAAGAAAAAAAAUUUCAUGAAAUCCAAGUUCAGGCAUAGGUCUGUCUUGAAACCCAAGUAUGAGCCUAGCUGGCAUGUACAUGUAUACGUGAGUUUAAACUUAAAUUUCACUUUAUUUGAUUUCUUUUCCCUUUCGCCUUCUCAUUAUAUAAAUAUUAAGAAAAUUUUAUUUCUUUUGUACAUAUGAUAGAGUUUUAAAAGGACAACAUAUGAACCUAAAAAAGUUUUAGAAUAAUUUUUUAUUAACUCAUAAAUUGUUUUAAUCAUGUUAAUAUGUAUUUCAGGUUAAAGAGUUUAUAUUGAAAAACAAACUCCAACAAAGUCUUAACUCCAAAAGUUAAUGGAGCACACUUUUAAUUUAAAAUUAAAUAUGUAAAUUAACCAUGAAUUUAAAAUAAUUUUUCCAACAAAAAGUUAAAAAGAAUCAUGAAGACAAUCAAUAUCAUGAUGGUAUUACACUUGUGCUAGUCUUCAACUUACAAGAAAAAAAUAUUGAAACUUACAUCACAUGGUAAUGUAAAAUAUACAUGCAUGAUGCUUGCCAGCUUGGAGAUUUUAAAUAGAGACAAAGAAAUCAAAAGGAUCCCCUAAUUUUCAAUAUAAGUGGGCUAAAGAUGACUCACAGAGAAGAGCUUAUUAGGAGCAUUAAGUUCAUGCUUGCUCAUGGGCGGCCCCGCUACGCAUUCUAGAGCCGGGCAUUAUUGGGAAGGCAUCUUCUUUAUUGAAAGUGAUUGAUUUGGAAUCCUGUCGAAAAUAAAAAAAUUGAAAAGAAGAAAAAUAAGAUGAAUGGUGUUAUUUAGAUAAGAAAGAAGAUAGAAAGGCACGGCAAAGCUAAGACUUUUCCUGCACAUAAAAGUUCAAGAGAAAUUUGGAGACGAGAGGAGAGAAGGAAAAGGUUAGCGAUGAAGUUCUUGUUCCAGUGCCCUUGUUGCUCAUGUUUCUGCUUCAUGAAGCCUAAACAGGGAAGACCAAAGGUGAAGGAAACUACCAAGGAAGCGAAGAAAGAGUGAUCAUAUAUUAAAUGCAACCACAACGUUGGUGCAUAAUGUUUGAUCUACUUUUAGUGUAUGCCUCUUUUUCCUUGCUGGUUCUUCUCUUGUAAUUUGUACGUAGCAUUUUCUUUCUAAUCCAUAUGAAAUGCCUCUACCUCUAAUUACUACGCUUGGAAAUAAAUGUUACCACUACAUUUUGUUUUUCCCGAGUUAAAAACAAUGCAUCCUCCAUUUUCUGCUUCUGCUUGCAUAAUUGCCUGCAAAUCUGUUUGUCCUGUUAACAAUUCUGGAAAAUACAAAUACGUACAUCCAUCUGUAAGAACUCUGUGUGUGUGUGGAUAGGUAUAUUUUACAUUAAGAGCUUUUGUAAUGGAGCACACGUUACCCAGCUAGCUACACAACUGGGGUUGUUUUAGCUUUCGAGCAAUUUGUUUUUUAAAAAUGAAGAAAAAUAUUACAUAUUGGGUAUGAAUAACUCGGAACUCGUAUCAGUUAUCACAUAAUGAAGGGAAACAUUACAUAUUGGGUAUGAAUAAUUAACUCAUAGCAACAUGUCUGGCCGGUGAUGAGCUCAUGCAUGCUCGCAAGCGAAUGAAGAGAUCAAAGUAUG
Molecule: long non-coding RNA, 1847 nt
Filed under: Populus trichocarpa (black cottonwood)
Lineage: Eukaryota; Viridiplantae; Streptophyta; Magnoliopsida; Malpighiales; Salicaceae
Description: long non-coding RNA (PTRI_LNC002772)
Source: RNAcentral